Molecule: long non-coding RNA, 1218 nt
Organism: Olea europaea var. sylvestris
Lineage: Eukaryota; Viridiplantae; Streptophyta; Magnoliopsida; Lamiales; Oleaceae
Exons: 2
Source: RefSeq, a predicted model, not a curated record
ACUUUUAAACCACACAUUCCCUAAAAAGUCAUUAUUUAAACUUUGUUUUUGCCAAAUAAUGGCCAUCAAACAGGGGCUAAAUGUCUUAUUUGAACUUUUUGCUCCUGAACACCGGGGAGUUAUCUGAUACAAUAAUUAUUAGUUUUUUGCUCCAAGUUUGUUGCAUGAUGUUCAGACAGGGGAGAAAAAUCACAUGUUGCCUUCAUUCAGUGCAAAAUAAAAAUUGUUAACGAAAUUGUAUCUUGGGCUUUAAAUGUGCCAAAGUUGUGCACAGUGGAGGAGUACAUAUGAUGUAGGUGUGUAUGUUGAUUUAGAGAAAUUGAAGGUCUUUGGUAAAUGUGAGCUUGGCGAACUUUUGGUUUUGAACAAUUUGAUCGAAUUAGAAAUUUGUGGAAGAAAAGCUGCAUAUGUUUUAUUACUUGUGACCUUUAUUUACCAAUGCAAUUCAGAGAUAAAGAGGCACAUUAUUCCUUGGCUUUGCAUGUACAGUUUUUGUGUUGACUACCUAAUUUGGGACUUAUAGGCAUUGCAAUACCGAGAUGACCCCUUAACAACGUACGACUACGGGAAUCAAAGAUGUCACAUGUGUCUGCGGUUCGAUUCACUUCAUAAAGUCAUGGAUAGAUUAUCCAAGCCAGGCGUCAGACGACUUGUUAUUGUGGAGGCUGGAAGCAAACGCGUAGAAGGAAUUAUAUCACUGAGUGAUAUCUUUAGGUUUCUUUUGGGUAUUUGAAACAUUGCAAACAGCAGAUCGUGUUAAGGGGCGCCCACCUGCAAGGAAUCUCAAUUCUUUCGUAUAGACAAUCGGUCGGCCUCAUAUUUCGUGGCCUGGCCCUUUAGGUUAAUAGGCUGAAGAAUGAGGCGUGUAAAUUGUAAUAUUGUCGUUUUGCCUGGUGUCCCCUCGGAAGAUGUCUUUACCUAAUGCAAGGCUAAUGCACCCGCCCGUUCUAAUGAAAAACUUUUGGGAAGCAGAGAUGUUUAUUCUAAAUAGGAUGUGAGGAAAUAAGGAAAGGAGAUAAUUAUUGGAUGAUUGGGGGGUUUUACUCAAACUCUAUGUUUUUCAUUUUUUCAGUACUAAACUUUCUGGUACAUGUUAUAGUCACCAAUUGCACCAGUUAUAUUGGUUUUUCUUUUUGUCGACAUUCCAGCUGGAAACCCCAUUUUGUUCUUUGUUUCAUCUAAUUGAUCUAAGGCUGUAUGCUCGUAGUGUUAUAUGAA